GGCUUUGUGAUUUUUGUUUCAUAUAAUCAAAUCACUGUCGGCGUAAACAUGGGGUCAGUUGUGCUUGGUUUGCUUCUGUGUGCUGUCUUUCCUCUGAUCAAUGCUGGUUGCUUCAGUGUGCAACACGAAACAACAGCUAAGUUUUGCCAGGACAAGACAGAUAAUACAUGGCAUCCUACUGGAUCUGUUUGGAGAAACAGUAAAUGUUUUGACUGUAAUUGUUUUGCUGAUUCCAUGAGGUGCUGUGAUGCAAUGCAGAGGCCUGUUAAUUAUUCUGACAAGUGCCAAGUGGAGUAUGAUUACACUACCUGCACAUUUGAGGUGUUUGAGAAAGUUCCCUGUUCUCACACGGGCGGUGUUCUCGGUAAAUGACAGCCAUGAACAAAGAAAAUAAAGCCAUCUUUGUAUUAUCUGCUGAUGUAAAGGAUAGUAAUUUGUUUAAUAUGUUUAAUUUGAAUAACAUUAUACAUGGGAUCAUGUCAAAAUAAACCCAACAUUGGACAGGCAUUUGGGCAAUGUUGUUAACUGCAUUUCAGGGGUGUAACCACCUUAGACUUUUCAAGAAAUCAUUUAAAUUGAAUAAUAUAAAUUGAUGUAAAUUUUAAUUAAAAGUUUAGAAUUUAUUUACACUUAUUUUGUACAGUUGUGUUUAUACAAUUAAAACAGGAUCAAUACA
Carassius gibelio (silver crucian carp) is the source of this 676-nucleotide long non-coding RNA. RefSeq lists it as uncharacterized. The record is from RefSeq and is a predicted model, not a curated record. The transcript is spliced from 4 exons. NCBI's taxonomy places the organism in Eukaryota, Metazoa, Chordata, Actinopteri, Cypriniformes, Cyprinidae.